This is a small nuclear RNA of Sorex araneus (European shrew), 107 nucleotides long. The record is from Ensembl. NCBI's taxonomy places the organism in Eukaryota, Metazoa, Chordata, Mammalia, Eulipotyphla, Soricidae.
GUGCUCACUUUGGCAGCACAGAUACUAAAAUUGGAAGCAUACAGAGGAGGUUAGCAUGGUUCCUGGAUAAAGAUGUCUCGCAAACUCAUGAAGCACUCCAUUAUUUU